AGGUGGAAAGGACAGGGAAUGAACCAGCACAGGGAUCAGGGAAUGAACCAGCACAGGGAUCAGGGAAUGAACCAGCACAGGGAUCAGGGAUGAACCAGCACAGGGAUCCAGGGAAUGAACCAGCACAGGGAUCCAGGAAUGAACCAGCACAGGGAUCAGGGAAUGAACCAGCACAGGGAUCAGGGGAAUGAACCAGCACAGGGAUCCAGGGAAUGAACCAGCACAGGGAUCAGGGAAUGAACCAGCACAGGGAUCAGGGAAUGAACCAGCACAGGGAUCAGGGAAUGAACCAGCACAGGGAUCCAGGAAAUGGCUCUGCUGCCAAAACACUGGGAGCCCCAUGCAAGGACUCACUCCCCAAUUUAGUUGUGUUUUAGGCUGGUACCCACAGAGCUCAGCAGCUGUAUCAGCUACAAAGCACUCUUGGAAAUAAAAGAAGGGGGGUUUUCUCCUUCAAAUCAAAGAUAGAAUGGAUUUACCUCCUCCAAAACAAAGAAAAUUAGGGAUACUCCUCCUCCAAAGCAAGAAUAAUGAGGAUUUUCCUCCCCUAACUCAAAAA
Serinus canaria (Common canary) is the source of this 559-nucleotide long non-coding RNA. RefSeq lists it as uncharacterized. Lineage: Eukaryota; Metazoa; Chordata; Aves; Passeriformes; Fringillidae. The transcript has 2 exons. The record is from RefSeq and is a predicted model, not a curated record.